Molecule: ribosomal RNA, 1050 nt
Filed under: uncultured archaeon
Lineage: Archaea
Description: bacterial SSU rRNA
Rfam family: Archaeal small subunit ribosomal RNA
Source: RNAcentral
CCCUUCGGUUGAUCCUGGCGGAGGCCACUGCUAUCGGAGUUCGAUUAAGCCAUGCGAGUCGAGAGGUGAAAGACCUCGGCAUACUGCUCAGUAACACGUGGACAAUCUAACCUACGGAGGGGGAUAACCCCGGGAAACUGGGGAUAAUACCCCAUAGACUAUGGAUGCUGGAAUGCUUUGUAGUCGAAAGGUCCGCCGCCGUAGGAUGGGUCUGCGGCCGAUUAGGUUGUUGUUGGGGUAACGGCCCAACAAGCCUGUAAUCGGUACGGGUUGUGGGAGCAAGAGCCCGGAGAUGGAUUCUGAGACACGAAUCCAGGCCCUACGGGGCGCAGCAGGCGCGAAAACUUUACAAUGCGGGAAACCGUGAUAGGGGAACUCCGAGUGCCCGUUAAAUCGGGCUGUCCAUCUGUUUAAAUAACAGGUGAAGAAAGGGCCGGGCAAGACCGGUGCCAGCCGCCGCGGUAAUACCGGCGGCUCGAGUGGUGGCCACUAUUACUGGGCUUAAAGCGUUCGUAGCUGGUUUGUUAAGUCUCUGGGGAAAUCUUCCGGCUUAACCGGAAGGCGUCUCAGGGAUACUGGCAGACUAGGGACCGGGAGAGGUGAGGGGUACUCCAGGGGUAGGAGUGAAAUCCUGUAAUCCUUGGGGGACCACCUGUGGCGAAGGCGCCUCACCAGAACGGCUCCGACAGUGAGGGACGAAAGCUGGGGGAGCAAACCGGAUUAGAUACCCGGGUAGUCCCAGCUGUAAACGAUGCGCGUUAGGUGUAUCGGUGACCACGAGUCACCGAGGUGCCGAAGAGAAAUCGUGAAACGUGCCGCCUGGGAAGUACGGUCGCAAGGCUGAAACUUAAAGGAAUUGGCGGGGGAGCACCACAACGGGUGGAGCCUGCGGUUUAAUCGGACUCAACGCCGGGAAACUCACCAGUUAAGACAGCUGAAUGAUAGUCGGGCUGAAGACUCUACUUGACUAGCUGAGAGGAGGUGCAUGGCCGUCGUCAGUUCGUACUGUGAAGCAUCCUGUUAAGUCAGGCAACGAGCGAGACCCAAAGG